Molecule: unclassified non-coding RNA, 371 nt
Filed under: uncultured fungus
Lineage: Eukaryota; Fungi
Description: partial contains ITS1, 5.8S rRNA and ITS2
Rfam family: 5.8S ribosomal RNA (bases 1-52)
Source: RNAcentral
AACGCAACUUGCGCCCCUUGGUAUUCCGAGGGGCAUGCCUGUUUGAGUGUCAUUAAAUUCUCAACUUCAAAAGCUUUGUCUUUCUGAAGCUUGGAUGUGAAGGCUGCUGGCGUCUUAGAUGUUCAGCUCCUUUAAAAUGCAUUAGUGGACCCGUUUGUGUUCAACCUUAGUGUGAUAAUUAUCUACGCUAUGGCUUUGAAUACUUGCUCAUUAGAACUUUUCGGGGUGUUUUUACAUUCUCGGUUUGGAGGGUUGCAUUAGGUUGCUCUCUCUGUCUAUUGAGUUAGGAUUGUCUGCUUCAAACCGUCUGCACUCGUAGACAAUUUGAACCAUUUGACCUCAAAUCAGGUAGGACUACCCGCUGAACUUAA